CCAGGAGGCGGGGCGCUCCCUGCCGCAGGGCCUCUGGGACGAGAUCAUCGACGGCCUGGCGUGGGUGGAGGAGGAAAUGGGCGCCCGCCUCGGCGACCCGCAGCGCCCGCUCCUGCUCUCCGUCCGCUCCGGCGCCGCGGUAAUGCCAUGGCCAUGCCAUCCUUGUUCGUUUGGUUCAUUCGCCUGCUCGCUUCUGAUCGCUUUGCCUUUGUGUUAUGUGAUAUGCGCAGGUGUCGAUGCCCGGGAUGAUGGACACGGUGCUCAACCUGGGACUCAACGACGAGGUGGCCGCCGGGCUCGGCGCCAAGAGCGGCGAGCGCUUCGCCAACGACUCCUACCGCCGCUUCCUCGACAUGUUCGGCAACGUCGUGAGUAUCUCCUGCCCAUCUGUCCUAAUGACUCAUCAGCGCCUCGUCGGAUCGGAGACGAUCUCGCAUGUUAAGCUAGCUUGGUUGUUGAUCACUCUACUCGCUUACUUGUAUGACUAGCUAGCUUGGUAGGUAGCUUAGCUAGGCGGCCUAUGCCUAGUUGUGCGUGCAUCGACCCAUGAUCGCUUCCGCGGGUGACCCGCGUCCGUCCGAGACGACGGCGGCUGCGUCGCACGCUUGCGGCCGCCGCCGGGGGCCACCAGCGUCGGGGGUUUCGUCUGUUUUGCCAGGCAGGACGCAGGACGGUGGGAGAGUACUUGCAGCACAGUGCUGUGUUUUCUUGGGUUAACCGAACGUGUGGGGAUCAUUCGGCACGGUUAAGCCAGUGAACGUGCUCGAUGCCCCGGCGUUGGAGUUAACCAGUGAAGUGAUUGGGCCAAGCACCUUUGCUUUUUGCUGCCAAUAAUAGGCAAGGUCCAAAUCAGAGAAGCUUUUCUACCUUUUUUAUUUCUUCUUAAAAAGUAAAAAAAAUUUGCGGACCUAAAAAGAAUAAAAAAUAUUUUCCAACGCAAAUGGAGGAAGGAAGUUGACGGUUCAAGAAAGGAACACGGCGACGGCAUCGUUGUAUCAGGUAAGAGGAAUUCGCAGGUGUGUGCAUAUUCCCCUGCAGAAAUUUAACAUGGACGGAGCAGUAUAUACAAGGUCAUUGUCAGUGUUCAAGCUCAUGCUAGACAGCCCUGUACGGUAUGUCGGUUGUCGGAGGUACGCCUCGUUUGUGGGGCUGAAGGACCGAUGACGGCGGCGCCUGUCUUCACCAGCAGAGUUUGACACUCUUUCCACCCGGAAAAUGGGUACAAGACGAUGAGGAAAAGAAAGUUUCUUGAAACGCCAUAGAAAAAUAUUUUUUAAAAACAAUGAGCAUUUAAUAUGGUCAGUUGGGGGCUGAGGGGAGAAGGUUGGUUGGUUCAACCUGCACACACAAGUGAUGACAUCUGCUAUGGAGAUGCUCAACCAGAGUUGGUUUUGGUCAUCUGUAAUUAGUUUUUUCAAUGACACUUCUAACUAGAAUGCUCAAACAGAGUUUUGUUUGUACUAUAAGAUAAUUGUUCCUCAGCAGAGCCUUUCUUUACCACCAGGUCAUGGACAUUCCCCACGCACUGUUCGAGGAGAAGCUUGAAGCCAUGAAGGAAGCCAAGGGGGUGAAGAACGACAAUGACCUGACUGCCUCUGACCUCAAAGAGCUGGUGGCUCAGUACAAGGAGGUCUACGUCGAAGCCAAGGGGGAGCCAUUUCCCUCAGGUAUGCCCACCGCAGCCUCACCCUCAGUUGAUAAUAUCUGUAUGAAAAAAAAAAUUCUCUUGAAACUAAAGCUGUUUCUUUGCAUCAAACUUAUGCAUGCCUUUACCUUGUUUUGUCUUGCAGAUCCCAAGAAGCAGCUUGAGCUAGCAGUGUUGGCUGUGUUCAACUCGUGGGACAGCCCCAGGGCCAACAAGUACAGGAGCAUUAACCAGAUCACUGGUCUGAAAGGCACUGCUGUGAACGUGCAGUCCAUGGUGUUUGGCAACAUGGGGGACACUUCUGGCACUGGCGUGCUCUUCACUAGGAAUCCUAGCACUGGAGAGAAGAAGCUGUAUGGCGAGUUCCUGGUGAAUGCUCAGGUAUGGACCAGUUUCUGUUGUGCCUAUUUGAUUCACAAUCUUAGCUGCCCUGUUUGAUCAAGUUAUUUUACACAAGUUAUAUUAAACAUGCAGUAGUAUCAACGAAUCUGUAUAAUGUAUGUGUGUUUCUGGUUCAGGGUGAGGAUGUGGUUGCUGGAAUCAGAACCCCGGAGGAUCUUGAUGCCAUGAAGGCACAGAUGCCGGAUGCUUAUGUAGAGCUCGUUGAGAACUGCAAGAUACUGGAGAGCCACUACAAAGAAAUGAUGGUACCUUAUUAUUGCAUUUUCAACCUUUACUGCACCAUUUAUUUUUGAGCUAUAUUUAAACAUGAUCUCUUUAAUAAUUUGCAACAUAAGCGCACUUGAAUACUGGUGUUGCUUCAAUGUGUUCUGUAGAUUGGCAUUGUGUCUCUGUUACUGCCAUUGGCCAUGAUCUCAGACUUGCUUGCUUUUUAUGCAUGAUGCAGGACAUUGAAUUUACCGUUCAGGAAAAUAGGCUCUGGAUGUUACAGUGCAGAUCAGGAAAACGUACAGGCCAAGGGGCGGUAAAGAUUGCUGUGGACAUGGUUAAUGAGGGUCUUGUUGAGCGCCGUCAAGCGAUUAAGAUGGUAGAGCCAGGCCACCUGGACCAGCUUCUCCAUCCUCAGGUAAUGGAUAACCAUGAGGCCCGUAAACUGAUUGUGCCUUACUUGAAAUUCAGUACUCUUAUAAGUUUGGCCUUACUUGGAAUUCACUUUAUAAGUUAAGUACUGGAUAUGUAUUAACAUCACUGUUUUAAUCUUGUCCAAUGAAAACCAGUUUGAGAACCCAUCAGCAUACAAGGAUCAAGUAAUCGCUACAGGCUUACCAGCUUCACCUGGGGCUGCUGUGGGCCAAAUUGUAUUUACUGCAGAGGACGCUGAAGCAUGGCAUGCCCAAGGGAAAGCUGCUAUCCUGGUAAACACCAUUUUAUCCUCAUUUUUAAGAAAAAAAGGUCUUCUGCAGUUUUUGUGUCAUUUUGAUCUGGACUUUGUGCUUCGAUGAAAAGAUCUGUUAAUUGAGCAAAACUGGUCUAUUUACUGGACCUGUUAGAAUAGUUGCUUGCAGAGUUACAGUCACAAAAAUCCCACUUAUCACAGACAGCCAUUUUUGAAAUGCAUAUGGAAGCUCCAAGUCGUAUCGCUUCAUCUUUUGCAUUCUGAGAAUUUUUUCUUUGCAAAUAUAUAGGUGAGGACAGAGACCAGCCCAGAGGAUGUUGGUGGCAUGCACGCAGCUGUUGGAAUUCUUACAGCAAGAGGUGGGAUGACCUCUCAUGCUGCUGUGGUAGCACGUGGUUGGGGAAAAUGUUGUGUCUCAGGAUGCUCAAGCGUUCUCGUAAAUGAUGCUGAGAAGGUGAAUAGAAUUCUUGUUUGCACAUCUUCUUCUUUGUAGAAGGUGACAUGCCAUGUUAAAGUUUGUAACAGGAUUAUGACAUUCUUUGUAGAUGUGCUCCGUCCGCCAUUUUUAAGUUCUUAUUAACGAGAUUUUGAGGAUGUAGAUGUUUCCUUACUUUGCUAUGUCUACAUUUACAGUCUGUAGUGAUUGGAGACAAGGUGAUGCAUGAAGGUGAGUGGCUAUCACUGAAUGGAUCUACUGGUGAAGUCAUCGUGGGGAAGCAGCCACUUUCCCCACCAGUCCUCAGUGGUGAUCUGGGAACCUUCAUGUCCUGGGUAGAUGAAGUUAGGCAACUGAAGGUAAAUUCCUAGAAAUAACAAAUAUGUAAUAUUAGUUAAAACAUGGAUACAAACUGUUGGAAGUAGAAACCAACAAAAAGGGCAUCAGAUUAUUUAUUCAGACAGGCCAAAGCUAGUCAACCCCACUACACAUUUUUCAACAGAAAUGCUUAUUCGUACAUAUGAUCCACCUUCCAGGUUUUGGCUAAUGCGGAUACCCCUGAGGAUGCACUGACAGCAAGAAACAAUGGGGCAGAAGGAAUUGGACUAUGCCGGACGGAGCACAUGGUAUGUAUUUUAGUUACUGUCCAAUAUCUUUUGGGUGGGAUCUUGGAAAACUUACUCUUUCUUGAAUUCCUUCGUCGAACAGUUGGGUAAACUUUAAGGACCUCCCGUUCUAGUCUCAUGUUCUCCUUUUCUGCACUUUGGCAGUUCUUUGCUUCGGAUGAGAGGAUUAAGGCUGUGAGGCAGAUGAUUAUGGCUCCCACACUUGAACUGAGGCAGAAGGCACUAGAUCGUCUUUUGCCUUAUCAGAGGUCUGACUUUGAAGGCAUUUUCCGUGCUAUGGAUGGUAUGUGAAAAUCACGAUGCAUUCAUUUACAUGCUCUCCAAUUGAACUGGAUGCACUAGUGUUACUGAACAUAACAAGAGUAAGCAACCUUCUUAAAUAGACAACAUUGACUACUAAUGUAAAGUGAAAAGGUAGACAAGUUUUAAACCUUAGGAUGCAAAAUACUUCAAAAAUAAGAACGAAAUUGGGCCAGUAACAUAUUGCAUCAAUUAUUUAACUUGGUAACAUAAAGUUCUGCUAUGAUUUAUCCAUUAGUUUUUUUUAAUCUUUUAUAGCGAGUGGUAUAUGUACAUGUUUCAUGGAAACAGAUAUAGAAUUAAACUACUAGAAUAAAUUUUAACAUGUAUUGUAGUUAGUUCCACAGUAUGUAUUUUAAAGUGCGGAAUGGAUUUGAACAUUAUUUUUUUUGCAUUUCAGGGCUUUCAGUGACUAUUCGGCUUCUGGACCCCCCACUUCAUGAGUUUCUUCCUGACGGGAAUGUUGAAGACAUUGUGCGUGAAUUAUGUUCUGAAACUGGAGCCAAUCAGGAGGAAGCCCUUGCAAGAAUUGAAAGUCUUUCAGAAGUAAAUCCAAUGCUUGGUUUCCGUGGGUGCAGGUUGGUUUUUGUGCUCCGUUUAAAUCAGUCACCCCCCCUCCUUGAUCCAUUUGGUUCCCUUGUUAGUGAAAUAUUAAAAAGAAUAAACUCUGUAUAUUUACCUCGACUAAUAUUGGAACUGCUAAAAUUCCAGGCUCGGUAUAUCAUAUCCUGAGCUAACAGAAAUGCAAGCCCGUGCCAUCUUUGAAGCUGCUAUAGCGAUGACCAACCAGGGUGUUCAAGUUUUCCCAGAGAUAAUGGUUCCUCUUGUUGGGACACCUCAGGCAUGCAUCUUUAUUUCCUUAUUUGUGCAUAUGGUAUCUCUGCAGUUCAUGGUGUUCAAAAUGACAAAAUCAAAAUUGAAUAAACAACCAAGUUCUGUACACAUGUAAUUUACGAUUUUAUGCAAACAUCAAGUUGACCUACACCCAAUUUCCCACCAAAUUCAUUUCUUGAAAUUUUCUCUCUCGAAUUCUAAGUUUAUUGCUUUCACUUGAUUUUUCCUUCAGACAUCUGACAUUUGACUUUUGCAGGAACUGGGGAAUCAAGUGGCCCUUAUCCGUGAAACUGCUAACAAAGUUUUCGCUGCUCUGGGUAAAACCAUUGACUACAAAAUUGGAACUAUGAUUGAAAUUCCGAGGGCAGCUCUAGUAGCUGAUGAGGUAGGAAGCAUCUAACUCCCUUCAGAAUAAUCUUAAAUAUUGCUGUUUAGGUUUAGCUUUUAGAUCAUAUUUUUCAUGAAUGGUUUAGUAAUAGAACCCCGGAUUUUUACUCUAAAACAUGUGAAUAGUAACUGAUGGUAUGAAUUUAUUAAGUGCAAAUAAUAAGUUUAUCCUCUAAUUUAAAAAAAAAACUGACAUUCUUGUUUUGGUUUCACAACCUGACAGAUAGCAGAGCAGGCUGAAUUCUUCUCUUUUGGAACGAACGACCUCACACAGAUGACAUUUGGCUACAGCAGGGAUGAUGUGGGGAAGUUUCUUCCCAUUUAUCUGUCUCAGGGUAUCCUCCAACAUGAUCCCUUUGAGGUAAAAUUUUAGCAGCUCUCACCCUUCAGUUUUAGAUGAUAUACCUGCAUUUUCAUCAUCCACUCUUGUUUUUCAAGGAAUAUUUCCAUCAUCCACAGAUGCGAGCAUCUCAUGUCCUCUAGGCAUUUUUCAUGUCCUUGACUUUUGGUUACGUGCAUGCUCUGGUAAAAUUCAACCUAGUAACUUGCCCAUUGAAUGUUGAUAAACAUAUCAGGUGCUGGAUCAGAGGGGAGUGGGCGAGCUGGUUAAGUUUGCUACAGAGAGGGGUCGCAAAGCUAGGCCUAACUUGAAGGUUAGUUUUUGGGACUUGUGGACAUUGGCUCUUUUCCUUAGAAAUCAUGGUUUCAUUGUUUGGUGCUGUCUGCAAACAGGUGGGCAUCUGUGGAGAACACGGUGGGGAGCCUUCGUCAGUUGCAUUCUUUGCAAAGUCGGGGCUGGAUUAUGUUUCUUGCUCGCCUUUCAGGUUGGUCAAGUGAUAAACUCAAGAUACAACUCCCAGAUUCAUAACUGUAGCAAAACCUUAACUACUUUUUAUGAAAUAUCUUGUGCAGGGUUCCCAUCGCCAGGCUAGCUGCAGCUCAGGUGCUCGUCUGAGGGCACCGCCUCAUCGGCAACCGGAUCACCUGCUGUUGGUGCGUCUGGUGAAGAAUACUAAUACAAAGCCAUGGAACGGUGGAACUCUGCUGCCUGGCAAAGGCCGUUGUAUCUUGUAUGAAGUCUCCGUGCGCGUGCGCAUGUAAGACUUAAUGUGUGGUUUUCUGCAUUUUCCCUUGAACUACCAUGGUAAUGUAGUACCAAACAGAGAUGAUGACGAAGAACAAUCGAAUAAAUUAAUUGGCGAUUAC
RNAcentral lists this long non-coding RNA (6731 nucleotides) under Setaria viridis. RNAcentral describes it as "long non-coding RNA (SVIR_LNC002901)". Lineage: Eukaryota; Viridiplantae; Streptophyta; Magnoliopsida; Poales; Poaceae. The record is from RNAcentral.